AUCUUCCGCAAUGGGCGAAAGCCUGACGGAGCAACGCCGCGUGAGUGAUGAAGGGUUUCGGCUCGUAAAACUCUGUUAUCAGGGAAGAACAAAUGUGUAAGCAACUGUGCACAUCUUGACGGUACCUAAUCAGAAAGCCACGGCUAACUACGUUCUACCAGCCGCGGCAAUACGUAGGUGGCAAGCGUUAUCCGGAAUUAUUGGGCGUAAAGCGCGCAUAGGCGGUUUCUUAAGUCUGAUGUGAAAGCCCACGGCUCAACCGUGGAGGGUCAUUAGAAACUGGGAAACUUGAGUGCAGAAGAGGAAAGUGGAAUUCCAUGUGUAGCGGUGAAAUGCGCAGAGAUAUGGAGGAACACCAGUGGCGAAGGCGACUUUCUGGUCUGUAACUGACGCUGAUGUGCGAAAGCGUGGGGAUCAAACA
Molecule: ribosomal RNA, 421 nt
Filed under: uncultured bacterium
Lineage: Bacteria
Description: bacterial SSU rRNA
Rfam family: Bacterial small subunit ribosomal RNA
Source: RNAcentral